Molecule: ribosomal RNA, 461 nt
Filed under: uncultured bacterium
Lineage: Bacteria
Description: partial 16S ribosomal RNA
Rfam family: Bacterial small subunit ribosomal RNA
Source: RNAcentral
CCUACGGGGGGCAGCAGUGAGGAAUAUUGGUCAAUGGGCGGAAGCCUGAACCAGCCAAGUCGCGUGAGGGAUUAAGGCCCUGCGGGUCGUAAACCUCUUUUGCCGGGGAGCAGAGGUCCGGACGUGUCCGGGCCGGGAGAGUACCCGGAGAAAAAGCAUCGGCUAACUCCGUGCCAGCAGCCGCGGUAAUACGGAGGAUGCGAGCGUUAUCCGGAUUUAUUGGGUUUAAAGGGAGCGUAGACGGCUGUGCAAGUCUGAAGUGAAAGCCCGUGGCUCAACCGCGGAACUGCUUUGGAAACUGUAUAGCUUGAGUACUGGAGAGGCAGGCGGAAUUCCUAGUGUAGCGGUGAAAUGCGUAGAUAUUAGGAGGAACACCAGUGGCGAAGGCGGCCUGCUGGACAGAAACUGACGUUGAGGCUCGAAAGCGUGGGGAGCAAACAGGAUUAGAUACCCUAGUAGUC